Pseudopipra pipra is the source of this 1727-nucleotide long non-coding RNA. RefSeq lists it as uncharacterized. The record is from RefSeq and is a predicted model, not a curated record. The transcript is spliced from 3 exons. Lineage: Eukaryota; Metazoa; Chordata; Aves; Passeriformes; Pipridae.
AAAUGAGGCGGCACAGGGCUUUGCAGCCUGGCAGUGGCACUGCUGGGCAGCUCCAGCUCACAGGUGAUGCACUCAGGUGCUGCCACAUUCACCUGGACCCUGCCAGCCAGGCAGGAGGUCCAUGAACAGCAACAAGACCUCACUAAAUCACCGUGUCUAAAACUGCACAUUCAAGCACCUGGGGGAGGACAUCUGCUCACCUGAAGAUUUUCCUAUGGAGCUGACAAUGCUCUUCAACUCCUCCCUGGCAUGCUCAAGGUUGCAUCCCAAGCAUCCAGACUCUGCCUGUGAGAUUUGGUGCAAAAGCUUCAGAAGCAGAGACCCAGGAGCAGUGUCGGGUUGGCUUCGGGGAAUGCAAUUCUCAUUCCUUUGAAAAUUCUCGUUCUGCAGGUUGGGAGUUUUGUUCAGCAUUUCCCUUCCCAGUUGGCAUCGUGGGGCUGAACUUUCUCAAGGUGUUGAGUGUGUGGAAAGAAGAAAAAAGAAAGGCAGAUUUCAUCUAGCUUGGAUUUACCCGGGGAGUGAUUUUCUUCCAGAGAUCCUAAUCUGAAACCGCUUCUUCCAGCUCCCUCCCGUAGUAGUUUACAACUCCUGACGUAUGUACACAGGGAUGGAUUGUGAAUCUGGGAGCACCAAUGGGGCUGGCCAUGGGCUCAGGGAAGGGAUGGACUGGCAUUUUGGCUCAUGAGAUUAAGAAUCAGGUUUAUUCCAGCUGUGUCUAUGCCUCAGCCCUGUGGCGAAAACCACAGCAUUUAUAUAAAAACCAUUUAGGCAGAAUUUACUCAUCUAUCACCAAUUUUGCCAGGGCAGAGAAGUUUAGCUGAGCUUCUGGACAUCUCCCAGAGGUGGUUCUGUUGAGAUUAACCUUAAAACUCUCCACCACAGCCCUCUGUAAAGGUAGGAGAGGCACAUCCUUUGGAGGGAGCACCUACAGAGGAGACUUUCAAACUGCUUUGGGAAACAUAACUCUGAGCCCCAAGUUUCAAUGGAAAUGCACUGAAGAAAACCUCAAAAAGCAAACUACAAGCUCCUCUCCCAGAUUUCCUUUUCCUUUCAUGGCACAAAUUAGAGAAUACCAACUUAGUGGAACUGCAAGCAUCUAAGAAUAGCUUUGAUUUUCCUAAACAUUUACAAUUCUGUUUUAUGUACAUCGUCAGAAAAGGAGCAAGGAAAUACAAAAUGUAAAUCUUUAAAUGAACCUGAAUACCAAGGAGACUUUACAUAUCUGCUUGGAACAAAUGGGAUGUUGCAGCUAAAUCUCAAACAGGGGAAUCAGAGAGUUUCAAUAGCCGUGGAUGUGUGGAGCAUAAUCAGACAUGGGAUGCCUCGUGUAGGGUCCCUCCCUCCCUGGCAGGUUAAGAAAGCUGUUGUAACUUGCUAUAAAUUUUGCUGCCUGUUUGGUUUCAUGGCUCCCAGGGCCAGAAUUCCCAUCUCCAUUUCAGAGAGCAGCAACUGCUUGCUAAGCUGGAUGUCAAAACCCUCCCUGGAAAGGGGCUGGGGGGAUGAUCCAUGGAUACUGUCCCCAUUAAGUGGGUUCUGUGCAAGGUCUAAUGGACCCAGAAGCUGUGGGCCUGAAAACACCUCCAGACAUGGAAGAUUUGCAGGAAUUCUGGAGAGCCUGUUGGGUACCUUUGAUAAAAAGUCACAUUUACAACAGGGAUAUUGUUCUUGGUUGUACUGCAGUGCUGAGAGAAAAGUUGAAUUUGGGAGGAGGUAUUAGCCCUUUCCUC